Molecule: transfer RNA, 77 nt
Filed under: Bacteroidota bacterium
Lineage: Bacteria; Pseudomonadati; Bacteroidota
Description: Bacteroidetes bacterium (hydrothermal vent metagenome) tRNA-Val
Rfam family: tRNA
About the family: Transfer RNA (tRNA) molecules are approximately 80 nucleotides in length. Their secondary structure includes four short double-helical elements and three loops (D, anti-codon, and T loops).
Source: RNAcentral
GGGCUGUUAGCUCAGUUGGCUAGAGCAUCGCCUUGACAGGGCGGGGGUCACUGGUUCGAAUCCAGUACAGCCCACUA